CAUGUGACAACAUUCGAAAGAGGAAAGCAACUGAGAGGUAGUGCUGAAGCCUAGAAGAGUCUAUCUGGUUGUCCUUCUCUGCCUCAUUGCUAGCUGCUGCUCAAAUUGGCACCAGAAAUAGCAUGUUUUGGUAAUCUAAUAUCCAACAGUAUAUGUGUGGCACUUAGUUAACAACUUGACAUCAUAUAUAAAAUAAGCUGUAAAUAUUUAGUUAACCACUCGCGAGUGUGGAAUAGUAUACUCCUCUCCUGGCGAAGAGCUAUAUCAUUUCAUACACAAGGAGCUUUAUAAUAGUCUUCUAGGUUUCGUUCAUUGGACUGUAUUAUCAGAACUCAAAAGCGACUAAUAAUAUCUCUUUAUCAGAAAUCGGAAAUGGAGCUGAAGUUAGAAGAGAAGAAACGACUAGUAGCUGAAACUGGACGAGUUAUUGAUUUCUGCUAAAAAAAACAAUCUUCAGUACGUCAAAUGCGGCUGACUAAGUUACAUAAAGGUCUCUAGGAAGUAAAGGAGUAUGGUGAAAGACUGAAAAGUUCUUAAGAGAAACUCCAGGUCAGUUCUCAAGUCUUUUAGUCAUAUAUCUAAGCUACAGUAUCAGUAACUUUUUUAUGCGUGCUUCAUACUAAAACAUACCUGAUAAUCUGACUAAAAAGAGUAUCGACUUUGUUCCUUUAGAAAGUAUAAUCUAAAAAAAAUUUCUGGGUUUGCUUGAAUUUUUUAUCUAUUUUGAAUCAUGUAACAUAGCAUUUUUGGGUUCUUUCUUGUCUCCACAUAAUUCCCCCCCCCCCCUCACAUGACCAAUUCAAGCUCAUAUAUGAAGCUCGCGCCCCUGUGGAUAUGCUGAUAUCCAUGAAGAAGCUAUUCAUUAUCUCUAGAGUACCUUCUUGGUCUUCAGUGUAUUUAACAAAUAAGUGACGACCUUGUAGUCCACAAUGAUUUUGUUAGCAACCGUGAAGCUAGGAACCUGCAAUCUAGUAGACACCAGUACAUUGUGGCAUUUUGUGAUUUAGAUUCACCAUUACAUUGUGGAAUUAUGUGACUUAGAUUCACCAUUUACUUUAUUGUGGAAUUUAUGGAAGAUUAGCCAUGAAAUUAGAUUCUUUUAUCUAGAUUCUCAAUGUGUACUUUGAUUCAUAUGCUAAGUACCCGGACUAGGUUUACUUUCUUUGCUAAGAACUUCCCUUCAUCACAAAUCCUAUGAAGUUAAGAGUUUGUUGAACUUCCUUAUAUCAUGUAUUACACUUUGUAAUUGGUU
Molecule: long non-coding RNA, 1252 nt
Organism: Spinacia oleracea (spinach)
Lineage: Eukaryota; Viridiplantae; Streptophyta; Magnoliopsida; Caryophyllales; Amaranthaceae
Exons: 3
Source: RefSeq, a predicted model, not a curated record